Molecule: ribosomal RNA, 383 nt
Filed under: uncultured bacterium
Lineage: Bacteria
Description: bacterial SSU rRNA
Rfam family: Bacterial small subunit ribosomal RNA
Source: RNAcentral
AUUGAACGCUGGCGGCAUGCCUAACACAUGCAAGUCGAACGGUAACAGGCAAAGCUUGCUUUGCGCUGACGAGUGGCGGACGGGUGAGUAACGCGUAGGAAUCUGCCUUAAAGUGGGGGACAACCCGGGGAAACUCGGGCUAAUACCGCAUGUGCCCUUCGGGGUAAAGCUGGGGAUCUUCGGACCUGGCGCUUUAAGAGGAGCCUGCGUUGGAUUAGCUAGUUGGUAGGGUAAAGGCCUACCAAGGCGACGAUCCAUAGCUGGUCUGAGAGGAUGAUCAGCCACACUGGAACUGAGACACGGUCCAGACUCCUACGGAGGCAGCAGUGGGGAAUAUUGGACAAUGGGCGAAAGCCUGAUCCAGCAAUGCCGCGUGUGUGAAG